GUGAUUGAUUGUCCUUAAGUUUCAAUUUCAUAGCCUUGAAACAUUUACAGGCUUAGAUUUUGGUUUGCUUAUGUAGGUACCACGGGCAUUAGGGCCACCUCAGUCUCAUGGACUCCUUGUUUAAUUCAACACUACCUUUGUGUGUGGCUUUCAGAGAAGACCCCUGAAUAUCUGAAUGGAAGAUUCCAACGGUAGACCAGAGCAGCACAUCAGGCAGUUGAAAACCACCACGUGACCAAUAGAUCAUUGGCAUAUUAAAGUGGCAGUAUACAGUGGACAUCCAGAAACAAAAGUAAACACUAGCA
RNAcentral lists this long non-coding RNA (305 nucleotides) under Equus caballus (horse). Its description in RNAcentral is "lncRNA (ENSECAG00000045845.1)". Lineage: Eukaryota; Metazoa; Chordata; Mammalia; Perissodactyla; Equidae. The record is from RNAcentral.